Molecule: ribosomal RNA, 253 nt
Filed under: uncultured bacterium
Lineage: Bacteria
Description: partial 16S ribosomal RNA
Rfam family: Bacterial small subunit ribosomal RNA
Source: RNAcentral
UACGUAGGGGGCAAGCGUUGUCCGGAUUUAUUGGGCGUAAAGAGCUCGUAGGCGGCUUGUUACGUCGGCUGUGAAAUCCCGCGGCUCAACUGCGGGUCUGCAGCCGAUACGGGCAGGCUAGAGUUCGGUAGGGGAGACUGGAAUUCCUGGUGUAGCGGUGAAAUGCGUAGAUAUCCGGAGGAACACCAGUGGCGAAGGCGACUUUCUGGCCUGUUCUUGACGCUGAGGCGCGAAAGCUAGGGGAGCAAACGGG